GAGGGAUGCUGGAGGUAUCAGAAGUGCGAAUGCUGACAUAAGUAACGAUAAAGCGGGUGAAAAGCCCGCUCGCCGGAAGACCAAGGGUUCCUGUCCAACGUUAAUCGGGGCAGGGUGAGUCGACCCCUAAGGCGAGGCCGAAAGGCGUAGUCGAUGGGAAACGGGUUAAUAUUCCCGUACUUGGUGUUACUGCGAAGGGGGGACGGAGAAGGCUAUGUUGGCCGGGCGACGGUUGUCCCGGUUUAAGCGUGUAGGUGUGUGUUCCAGGUAAAUCCGGUUCACUUUAACACUGAGGCGUGACGACGAGGCACUACGGUGCUGAAGCAACAAAUGCCCUGCUUCCAGGAAAAGCCUCUAAGCAUCAGGUAACACGAAAUCGUACCCCAAACCGACACAGGUGGUCAGGUAGAGAAUACCAAGGCGCUUGAGAGAACUCGGGUGAAGGAACUAGGCAAAAUGGUGCCGUAACUUCGGGAGAAGGCACGCUGACACGUAGGUGAAGUGAUUUACUCAUGGAGCUGAAGUCAGUCGAAGAUACCAGCUGGCUGCAACUGUUUAUUAAAAACACAGCACUGUGCAAACACGAAAGUGGACGUAUACGGUGUGACGCCUGCCCGGUGCCGGAAGGUUAAUUGAUGGGGUCAGCGUAAGCGAAGCUCCUGAUCGAAGCCCCGGUAAACGGCGGCCGUAACUAUAACGGUCCUAAGGUAGCGAAAUUCCUUGUCGGGUAAGUUCCGACCUGCACGAAUGGCGUAAUGAUGGCCAGGCUGUCUCCACCCGAGACUCAGUGAAAUUGAACUCGCUGUGAAGAUGCAGUGUACCCGCGGCAAGACGGAAAGACCCCGUGAACCUUUACUAUAGCUUGACACUGAACAUUGAGCCUUGAUGUGUAGGAUAGGUGGGAGGCUUUGAAGUGUGGACGCCAGUCUGCAUGGAGCCGACCUUGAAAUACCACCCUUUAAUGUUUGAUGUUCUAACGUGGACCCGUAAUCCGGGUUGCGGACAGUGUCUGGUGGGUAGUUUGACUGGGGCGGUCUCCUCCUAAAGAGUAACGGAGGAGCACGAAGGUUGGCUAAUCCUGGUCGGACAUCAGGAGGUUAGUGCAAUGGCAUAAGCCAGCUUGACUGCGAGCGUGACGGCGCGAGCAGGUGCGAAAGCAGGUCAUAGUGAUCCGGUGGUUCUGAAUGGAAGGGCCAUCGCUCAACGGAUAAAAGGUACUCCGGGGAUAACAGGCUGAUACCGCCCAAGAGUUCAUAUCGACGGCGGUGUUUGGCACCUCGAUGUCGGCUCAUCACAUCCUGGGGCUGAAGUAGGUCCCAAGGGUAUGGCUGUUCGCCAUUUAAAGUGGUACGCGAGCUGGGUUUAGAACGUCGUGAGACAGUUCGGUCCCUAUCUGCCGUGGGCGCUGGAGAACUGAGGGGGGCUGCUCCUAGUACGAGAGGACCGGAGUGGACGCAUCACUGGUGUUCGGGUUGUCAUGCCAAUGGCACUGCCCGGUAGCUAAAUGCGGAAGAGAUAAGUGCUGAAAGCAUCUAAGCACGAAACUUGCCCCGAGAUGAGUUCUCCCUGAGACUUAGAGUCUCCUGAAGGAACGUUGAAGACGACGACGUUGAUAGGCCGGGUGUGUAAGCGCAGCGAUGCGUUGAGCUAACCGGUACUAAUGAACCGUGAGGCUUAACCUUACAACGCCGAAG
Molecule: ribosomal RNA, 1694 nt
Filed under: Salmonella enterica subsp. enterica serovar Typhimurium
Lineage: Bacteria; Pseudomonadati; Pseudomonadota; Gammaproteobacteria; Enterobacterales; Enterobacteriaceae
Description: bacterial LSU rRNA
Rfam family: Bacterial large subunit ribosomal RNA
Source: RNAcentral